UCCGGUUGAUCCUGCGGGGGGCCACCGCUAUCCCCGUCCGACUAACCCAUGGAAGGCCAGGGAUACCGGGCAAGGUAUCCCGCCGCACGGCUGAGUAACACGUCGGCAACCUACCCUCGGGAGGGCGAUAACCCCGGGAAACUGGGGAUAAACGCCCAUAGGAGAUGGGUGGUGGAAUUCCCCCAUCUCCGAAAGGGAUAAGAGUAUUCCCCUCUUAUCCGCCCGAGGAUGGGCCGGCGGCCUAUCAGGUAGUUGGCGGGGUAACGGCCCGCCAAGCCGAAGACGGGUAGGGGCCGUGAGAGCGGGAGCCCCCAGAUGGGCACUGAGACAAGGGCCCAGGCCCUACGGGGUGCACCAGGGGCGAAACCUCCGCAAUGGGUAUAAGCCUGACGGGGGGACGGGGAGUGCCUCGGGAUUUUUUCCCGAGGCUUUUCGGGAGUGUAAAAAGCUCCCGGGAAUAAGCGGUGGGCAAGAGGGGUGGCAGUCGCCACGGGAAUACU
RNAcentral lists this ribosomal RNA (500 nucleotides) under uncultured Nanoarchaeota archaeon. RNAcentral's name for it is "bacterial SSU rRNA". It matches the Rfam family "Archaeal small subunit ribosomal RNA", at positions 1 to 477 of the family's 1478-position model. Lineage: Archaea; Nanobdellati; Nanobdellota. The record is from RNAcentral.